Molecule: ribosomal RNA, 253 nt
Filed under: uncultured bacterium
Lineage: Bacteria
Description: partial 16S ribosomal RNA
Rfam family: Bacterial small subunit ribosomal RNA
Source: RNAcentral
UACAGAGGUCCCAAGCGUUGUUCGGAUUCAUUGGGCGUAAAGGGUGCGUAGGCGGCGCGGUAAGUCGGGUGUGAAAUCUCGGGGCUUAACUCCGAAACUGCAUUCGAUACUGCCGUGCUUGAGGACUGGAGAGGAGACUGGAAUUUACGGUGUAGCGGUGAAAUGCGUAGAUAUCGUAAGGAAGACCAGUGGCGAAGGCGGAUCUCUGGGACGGUACUGACGCUGAGACGCGAAAGCGUGGGGAGCGAACAGG